This 93-nucleotide transfer RNA is filed under the name Ligilactobacillus salitolerans. Its description in RNAcentral is "tRNA-Ser". It matches the Rfam family "tRNA". Rfam says of the family: Transfer RNA (tRNA) molecules are approximately 80 nucleotides in length. Lineage: Bacteria; Bacillati; Bacillota; Bacilli; Lactobacillales; Lactobacillaceae. The record is from RNAcentral.
UGGAGAGUUGUCCGAGAGGCUGAAGGAGCAUGAUUGGAAAUCAUGUAAGGGGGGAAUGCCCUCCUUCAAGGGUUCGAAUCCCUUACUCUCCGU